RNAcentral lists this unclassified non-coding RNA (201 nucleotides) under soil metagenome. Its description in RNAcentral is "partial contains 5.8S ribosomal RNA, internal transcribed spacer 2, and large subunit ribosomal RNA". The record is from RNAcentral.
AACGCACGAGACCUGCGGACCUGCGGAAGGAUCAUUAUAGAGUUUUCUAAACUCCCAACCCAUGUGAACUUACCUUUUGUUGCCUCGGCAGAAGUUAUAGGUCUUCUUAUAGCUGCUGCCGGUGGACCAUUAAACUCUUGUUAUUUUAUGUAAUCUGAGCGUCUUAUUUUAAUAAGUCAAAACUUUUAGCAACGGAUCUCU